AUUGAACGCUGGCGGCAUGCUUUACACAUGCAAGUCGAACGGCAGCGCGGGCUUCGGCCUGGCGGCGAGUGGCGAACGGGUGAGUAAUACAUCGGAACGUGCCCAGCUGUGGGGGAUAGCUCGGUGAAAGCCGGAUUACUACCGCAUACGACCUGCGGGUGAAAGCGGGGGAUCUUCGGACCUCGCGCUAUUGGAGCGGCCGAUGGCCGAUUAGCUAGUUGGUGGGGUAAAGGCCUACCAAGGCGACGAUCUGUAGCUGGUCUGAGAGGACGACCAGCCACACUGGGACUGAGACACGGCCCAGACUCCUACGGGAGGCAGCAGUGGGGAAUUUUGGACAAUGGGCGAAAGCCUGAUCCAGCAAUGCCGCGUGUGUGAUGAAGGCCUUCGGGUUGUAAAGCACUUUUGGCGGGAACGAAAAGGACUGGGCCAAUACCACGGUUCGAUGACGGUACCCGCAGAAUAAGCACCGGCUAACUACGUG
Molecule: ribosomal RNA, 484 nt
Filed under: uncultured bacterium
Lineage: Bacteria
Description: partial 16S ribosomal RNA
Rfam family: Bacterial small subunit ribosomal RNA
Source: RNAcentral